AAGGAACUCUUGUCGUGUUCAACUUGGAUCCAUCGGUAUCCAAUGAGGAUCUUCGGCAAAUCUUUGGAGUGUAUGGGGAAGUCAAGGAGAUUAGAGAAACACCACAUAAACGCCAUCACAAAUUCAUCGAAUUCUACGAUGUCAGAGCAGCUGAUGCAGCUCUUAAAGCAUUAAAUCGUAGUGACAUUGCUGGAAAGCGGAUAAAACUUGAACCCAGCCGACCUGGUGGAGCCCGUCGAAAUUUGAU
This 247-nucleotide unclassified non-coding RNA is filed under the name Hevea brasiliensis (rubber tree). The record is from RNAcentral. Lineage: Eukaryota; Viridiplantae; Streptophyta; Magnoliopsida; Malpighiales; Euphorbiaceae.